AUACAUGCAAGUCGAGCCGAAUGGAUUGAGAGCUUGCUCUCAAGAAGUUAGCGGCGGACGGGUGAGUAACACGUGGGUAACCUGCCCAUAAGACUGGGAUAACUCCGGGAAACCGGGGCUAAUACCGGAUAANAUUUUGAACUGCAUGGUUCGAAAUUGAAAGGCGGCUUCGGCUGUCACUUAUGGAUGGACCCGCGUCGCAUUAGCUAGUUGGUGAGGUAACGGCUCACCAAGGCAACGAUGCGUAGCCGACCUGAGAGGGUGAUCGGCCACACUGGGACUGAGACACGGCCCAGACUCCUACGGGAGGCAGCAGUAGGGAAUCUUCCGCAAUGGACGAAAGUCUGACGGAGCAACGCCGCGUGAGUGAUGAAGGCUUUCGGGUCGUAAAACUCUGUUGUUAGGGAAGAACAAGUGCUAGUUGAAUAAGCUGGCACCUUGACGGUACCUAACCAGAAAGCCACGGCUAACUACGUGCCAGCAGCCGCGGUAAUACGUAGGUGGCAAGCGUUAUCCGGAAUUAUUGGGCGUAAAGCGCGCGCAGGUGGUUUCUUAAGUCUGAUGUGAAAGC
This 571-nucleotide ribosomal RNA is filed under the name soil bacterium S93D1. Its description in RNAcentral is "bacterial SSU rRNA". It matches the Rfam family "Bacterial small subunit ribosomal RNA", at positions 51 to 601 of the family's 1533-position model. The record is from RNAcentral.